ACCAGACGCAGUAGCCGGCACCUGUAGUCCCAGCUACUCUGGAGGCUGAGAUAGGAAGAUCCCUUGAAUCCAGUUCUGGCUGUAGUGCGCGUGCCAGGUGUCCUCUCUAAGUUCGGCAUCAGUAUGGUGACCUCCCGGGAGCUGGGGGCCCUAAGGAGGGGUGAACUGGCCCAGGUCACAAACAGAGCAGGUCAAAAAACUCCUGUGCUGAUCAGUAGUGGGUCGUGCCUGUGAAUAGCCACUGCGCUCCAGUCUGGGCAACAUAGCGAUACCUCGUCUCUU
Otolemur garnettii (small-eared galago) is the source of this 282-nucleotide non-coding RNA. Lineage: Eukaryota; Metazoa; Chordata; Mammalia; Primates; Galagidae. The record is from Rfam.